This 484-nucleotide ribosomal RNA is filed under the name uncultured bacterium. Its description in RNAcentral is "partial 16S ribosomal RNA". It matches the Rfam family "Bacterial small subunit ribosomal RNA", at positions 30 to 507 of the family's 1533-position model. The record is from RNAcentral.
AUUGAACGCUGGCGGCAGGCCUAACACAUGCAAGUCGAGCGGAUGAAGGGAGCUUGCUCCUGGAUUCAGCGGCGGACGGGUGAGUAAUGCCUAGGAAUCUGCCUGGUAGUGGGGGAUAACGUCCGGAAACGGGCGCUAAUACCGCAUACGUCCUGAGGGAGAAAGUGGGGGAUCUUCGGACCUCACGCUAUCAGAUGAGCCUAGGUCGGAUUAGCUAGUUGGUGGGGUAAAGGCCUACCAAGGCGACGAUCCGUAACUGGUCUGAGAGGAUGAUCAGUCACACUGGAACUGAGACACGGUCCAGACUCCUACGGGAGGCAGCAGUGGGGUAUAUUGGACAAAGGGCGAAAGCCUGAUCCAGCCAUGCCGCGUGUGUGAAGAAGGUCUUCGGAUUGUAAAGCACUUUAAGUUGGGAGGAAGGGCAGUAAGUUAAUACCUUGCUGUUUUGACGUUACCAACAGAAUAAGCACCGGCUAACUUCGUG